CCUACGGGUGGCAGCAGUGGGGAAUAUUGCACAAUGGGGGAAACCCUGAUGCAGCGACGCCGCGUGAGUGAAGAAGUAUUUCGGUAUGUAAAGCUCUAUCAGCAGGGAAGAAAAAGACGGUACCUGUUUAAGAAGCCACGUCUAACUACGUUCCAGCAGCCCCGGUAAUACGUAGGGGGCAAGCGUUAUCCGGAUUUACUGGGUGUAAAGGGAGCGUAGACGGGAGGACAAGUCCGUAGUGAAAGGCCGGGGCUUAACCUUGGAACUGCAUUGGAAACUGUGCAGCUUGAGUGCAGGAGAGGUAGGUGGAAUUCGUGGUGUAGCGGUGAAAUGCUUAGAUAUUAGGAGGAACACCAGUGGCGAAGGCGGCUUACUGGACUGUAACUGACGUUGAGGCUCGAAAGUGUGGGGAGCAAACAGGAUUAGAUACCCGUGUAGUC
RNAcentral lists this ribosomal RNA (440 nucleotides) under uncultured bacterium. Its description in RNAcentral is "partial 16S ribosomal RNA". It matches the Rfam family "Bacterial small subunit ribosomal RNA", at positions 338 to 795 of the family's 1533-position model. The record is from RNAcentral.